CCUACGGGGGGCAGCAGUGGGGAAUAUUGGGCAAUGGAGGCAACUCUGACCCAGCAACGCCGCGUGAGUGAUGAAGGUCUUCGGAUUGUAAAACUCUUUAAGUGGGGACGAAGAAAGUGACUGUACCCACAGAAUAAGCCUCGGCUAACUACGUGCCAGCAGCCGCGGUAAUACGUAGGAGGCAAGCGUUAUCCGGAAUGACUGGGCGUAAAGGGGGCGUAGGUGGUUUGACAAGUUAGUAGCGUAAUUCCGGGGCUCAACUUCGGAACUACUACUAAAACUGUUGGGCUUGAGUGCAGGAGAGGUGAAUGGAAUUCCUAGUGUAGCGGUGGAAUGCGUAGAUAUAUGGAAGAACACCAGUGGCGAAGGCGGCUGUCUGGUCUGCAACUGACGCUGAGGCUCGAAAGCAUGGGUAGCGAACAGGAUUAGAUACCCUUGUAGUC
This 443-nucleotide ribosomal RNA is filed under the name uncultured bacterium. RNAcentral's name for it is "partial 16S ribosomal RNA". It matches the Rfam family "Bacterial small subunit ribosomal RNA", at positions 338 to 795 of the family's 1533-position model. The record is from RNAcentral.